AGUGAACGCUGGCGGUAGGCCUAACACAUGCAAGUCGAACGGCAGCACAGUAAGAGCUUGCUCUUACGGGUGGCGAGUGGCGGACGGGUGAGGAAUACAUCGGAAUCUACUUUUUCGUGGGGGAUAACGUAGGGAAACUUACGCUAAUACCGCAUACGACCUACGGGUGAAAGCAGGGGAUCUUCGGACCUUGCGCGAUUGAAUGAGCCGAUGUCGGAUUAGCUAGUUGGCGGGGUAAAGGCCCACCAAGGCGACGAUCCGUAGCUGGUCUGUGAGGAUGAUCAGCCACACUGGAACUGAGACACGGUCCAGACUCCUACGGGAGGCAGCAGUGGGGAAUAUUGGACAAUGGGCGCAAGCCUGAUCCAGCCAUACCGCGUGGGUGAAGAAGGCCUUCGGGUUGUAAAGCCCUUUUGUUGGGAAAGAAAAGCAGCAGGUUAAUACCCCGCUGUUCUGACGGUACCCAAAGAAUAAGCACCGGCUAACUUCGUGC
Molecule: ribosomal RNA, 493 nt
Filed under: uncultured bacterium
Lineage: Bacteria
Description: partial 16S ribosomal RNA
Rfam family: Bacterial small subunit ribosomal RNA
Source: RNAcentral